RNAcentral lists this ribosomal RNA (295 nucleotides) under Paenibacillus sp. LHD-38. Its description in RNAcentral is "partial 16S ribosomal RNA". It matches the Rfam family "Bacterial small subunit ribosomal RNA", at positions 1 to 290 of the family's 1533-position model. Lineage: Bacteria; Bacillati; Bacillota; Bacilli; Caryophanales; Paenibacillaceae. The record is from RNAcentral.
AAUUUGGAGAGUUUGAUCCUGGCUCAGGACGAACGCUGGCGGCGUGCCUAAUACAUGCAAGUCGAGCGGAUCUUGUCCUUCGGAACAAGGUUAGCGGCGGACGGGUGAGUAACACGUGGGUAACCUGCCUGUAAGACUGGGAUAACAUUCGGAAACGAAUGCUAAUACCGGAUACACAGCUUGGUCGCAUGACCGGGCUGGGAAAGAUGGAGCAAUCUAUCACUUAUAGAUGGACCCGCGGCGCAUUAGCUAGUUGGUGAGGUAACGGCUCACCAAGGCGACGAUGCGUAGCCGA